UUAAUCGUGGCUGUAUCGUGAUUGGCCAAAAUUUCAAACUUUGACUUUCGUGAAUUCUGAUUGGACAAUUGCCAUUCCGCCAUCAAAUUUUGAAAUGGGCAAAGAAGACAGAAGCUGUUGUAGAGAUUUUCCUGAUUUUUUCAAGAAAUAUGCAGAAUCACAGCGUGUUGUAUGUAGUAAUGAAACUGCAAGCAGUGGUUUCAUAAAGAUAGACAUGCUUAAGACCUGGAUGAUAUGGCUUUAGUUGUGGAUGACCAUUUCCAUUCAGGAAAAAAUCCCAACCAAGUCCAGCUAGCAGACUGUACACCAGAUUGAAGAUAAAUCAUUAAUACAAGAUGAAAAAAAAUUAAUGGAGGACGAGGAUAAUACUAUGAAAGAGAUCAGAUGCAAGAGCAACCGUUCCCAUAGAAAUACAUGCAGCCAUGUCAACAGAAACCAGUUUUCACCUGCCAGGAACAGAUUCAAGAAACAGAUCCAGUUGUUUGCUGAUAAAUUACUGCAGGUCAUUGGUAUCAUCUAGAACCAGGACUGUUUUAAAAAUCAUACUAGUAUGUUUGGAACAAAAUCAUGCUAGUAUAUGUUAGGAA
Long non-coding RNA from Magallana angulata, 587 nucleotides. RefSeq lists it as uncharacterized. Lineage: Eukaryota; Metazoa; Mollusca; Bivalvia; Ostreida; Ostreidae. The transcript has 4 exons. The record is from RefSeq and is a predicted model, not a curated record.